GUGGGGAAUAUUGGACAAUGGGCGAAAGCCUGAUCCAGCCAUGCCGCGUGUGUGAAGAAGGUCUUCGGAUUGUAAAGCACUUUAAGUUGGGAGGAAGGGCAGUAAGUUAAUACCUUGCUGUUUUGACGUUACCGACAGAAUAAGCACCGGCUAACUUCGUGCCAGCAGCCGCGGUAAUACGAAGGGUGCAAGCGUUAAUCGGAAUUACUGGGCGUAAAGCGCGCGUAGGUGGUUUUGUAAGUUGGAGGUGAAAUCCCCGGGCUCAACCUGGGAACUGCCACAAAAACUGCAUGACUAGAGUACGGUAGAGGGUAGUGGAAUUUCCUGUGUAGCGGUGAAAUGCGUAGAUAUAGGAAGGAACACCAGUGGCGAAGGCGACUACCUGGACUGAUACUGACACUGAGGUGCGAAAGCGUGGGGAGCAAACAGGAUUAGAAACCCUGGUAGUCC
Molecule: ribosomal RNA, 450 nt
Filed under: uncultured bacterium
Lineage: Bacteria
Description: bacterial SSU rRNA
Rfam family: Bacterial small subunit ribosomal RNA
Source: RNAcentral